RNAcentral lists this long non-coding RNA (304 nucleotides) under Olea europaea subsp. europaea. The record is from RNAcentral. Lineage: Eukaryota; Viridiplantae; Streptophyta; Magnoliopsida; Lamiales; Oleaceae.
CCUGGAAUAAACACAAGUUUUCUUCAUUUACCGUUAUGUUUAUUCAUUCUCCAGAUUAAAAUGAAAAUUUCUCGAGAGGGAAACAAAUAAAAUGUAAUUUAUUCUUAUGUUUGUCCUAUCUCAAUCUCACCUAGCCAUGAAACUACUUCACCAAUAGAAGGUCUUCUUCUAGGAUCCUGGUGUAAACAUUUGCAAGCUAUACCAAGCACCUCCAUAAGUUGUCUUUCAGAAUCUCUAUCUUGUAUUGAUGAAUCGAAUAUAUCCUCCUCCCUCUUCUCAGACUUCUUUUGAAACACCNACAAAA